Molecule: ribosomal RNA, 406 nt
Filed under: uncultured bacterium
Lineage: Bacteria
Description: partial 16S ribosomal RNA
Rfam family: Bacterial small subunit ribosomal RNA
Source: RNAcentral
AUUGAACGCUGGCGGCAGGCCUAACACAUGCAAGUCGAGCGGGCGGCGGACGGGUUAGUAAUGUCUGGGAAACUGCCUGAUGGAUAGGGAUAACUACUGGCAACUGUAGCUAACACCGCAUAACAGCAGCUGGGCCCAGAUGGGUUUAGCUAGUGGGUGGGGUAACGCCUCACCUAGGCGACGAUCCGUAGCUGGUAUGAGAGGAUGACCAGACACACUGGAACGGAGACACGGUCCAGACUCGUACGGGAGGAAGCAGUGGGGAAUAUUGCACAAUGGGCGAAAGCCUGAUGCAGCCAUGCCGCGUGUAUGAAGAAGGCCUUCGGAUUGUAAAGUACUUUAAGCUGGGAGGCGUUACCAGCAGAAGAAGCACCGGCUAACUUCGUGCCAGCAGCCGCGGUAAUAC